GGUUUUAUAGUUUAAUUAAAACAUUAAAUUGCAAAUUUAACAAUGGUGAUAAAUAUAAUCCUAAGACUU
Molecule: transfer RNA, 69 nt
Filed under: Phlogotettix sp. EMHAU-15090801
Lineage: Eukaryota; Metazoa; Arthropoda; Insecta; Hemiptera; Cicadellidae
Description: tRNA-Cys
Rfam family: tRNA
About the family: Transfer RNA (tRNA) molecules are approximately 80 nucleotides in length. Their secondary structure includes four short double-helical elements and three loops (D, anti-codon, and T loops).
Source: RNAcentral